ACAUUUUUCUAUCGUUUAUUAUUAAAAAAAAUAAUAAUAAAUAUUUUUUCCCUCCCUCCUUUUCUCUCUCUCUCUCACCCUCUUCUCUCUUCUCCUUCUCCUUACCCCCCCAUUUCUGCUUCGUCGGCGCCGUCUCUUUCUCCUUCCCCUUCAUCGUUCCUCACUACAACAAGAAUGAAAAGUCGACUCACCUCAUUGCUGCCGCCAAAACAGCCUCCUGUCGGUGUCUCUUCGCCGAUCUGAUGCCGAAAAUGGACUCUUGGACCCCGAACCUCAAGGCAGCCUUCCCCGCUCAUUUCCCUCCGCCGGCAGUAGUGGGUGAGCCUCGCCGAAGCCGAAACUUUCCAGCCCCGAUCCGGUGACUUCCGGCUAGUUUCAGGCGAAGACAUUUGCAUAUUUGGACUCCCCGCAACUCAAACUUCGCGUAGGCGCUUCCGGAUCCGAAACCGGACAUCAUUGGCGGUACCAGCUUCCAAAGCCUGGUGUUUUGUGGACGAGCUAUUCAGACUUUGAAAAUUAUUUUAGAAUUAUUAGACAGUAUUUGUUGUAUUAAUUAUUAGUUAUAAUUAAGUAAUUAAAUUAUUUAAUUAAUUAAUAGCCUGAUUUUAGAAUUACUGCAGAUUAAUUACAAAAUGAGUUAACAUUCUGUUAUGUAAAUAUUUGUAUAAUGUAUCAUGAAAUAGGAUUAUUUUGCCGGACUGAUAAUUUUUAUAUUGUAAUUUGGGUUAUAUUGCAGAGUCGGAAAAAUAAUGCAGUUUUGGUGGCUUGACUCCCGUUAAGUAUUUAUAAAAUAUUUAAAAUUUUUCUAGCAGGUUCUGGACCUAUUAUACGGGGAUACACGUCCAUAUUUUAAGGGAAAUUUUGCCGAAUUUUCGAUAGAAUUUCCGAAUCAGUGUUUCUUACACAGUAUAAUCUAAGAGUCUAAACCUACGAGAGAUUAUGAAUAUCUUAUUAAUUGAAUUAUUUUCAUGAAUAGCUAAUUCGUCCGUUUAGCCAACUCUACCCGAGGUGUAGGAGCAGACUGCGGAGUGCCGCAUAACUGUGACAGCUAGGUUCUCCGUCGACUUUCUUUUUUACAGUCCAACUUCAUUUUCUCUUUCGGUCCUAUUGUAAUUAAAUCUUAACUUUUGUAUUUUAAAUUAUUUAGAAUUGUAGACUUUCUGCAGUAGUGUACUUGGUAUCUUAUAUUUUAAUUUAGUCUGUUAAAAGUUAUGGGAUACUUACUAGUAAUCUAGCUGAAAGAUUAAUUUAA
Molecule: long non-coding RNA, 1252 nt
Organism: Ricinus communis (castor bean)
Lineage: Eukaryota; Viridiplantae; Streptophyta; Magnoliopsida; Malpighiales; Euphorbiaceae
Exons: 2
Source: RefSeq, a predicted model, not a curated record